CCCUUAGAUGUUCUGGGCUGCACGCGUGCUACAAUGGCGCUUGCAACAAGUCUUGCCAACCCGAUAGGGUGAGCGGAUCUUUGAAGAGGCGUCGUGAUCGGGACAGUUGAUUGCAAUUAUUCGACUCGAACGAGGAAUUCCUUGUAAUCGCGAUUCAUCAUAUCGCGCUGAAUACGUCCCUGCCCUUUGUACACACCGCCCGUCGCUCCUACCGAUUGAGCGAUCCGGUGAAUGUUUUGGACUGGCGUCAGAAGCGGUUCGCUCCUGACACUACGAAAUUUUGUAAACCUUAUCGCUUAGAGGAAGGAAAAGUCGUAAC
RNAcentral lists this ribosomal RNA (319 nucleotides) under uncultured eukaryote. RNAcentral's name for it is "partial 18S ribosomal RNA". It matches the Rfam family "Eukaryotic small subunit ribosomal RNA", at positions 1470 to 1795 of the family's 1831-position model. The record is from RNAcentral.